ACUCAAAUGAAUUGACGGGGGCCCGCACAAGCAGCGGAGCGUGUGGUUUAAUUCGAUGCUACACGAAGAACCUCACCAAGGCUUGACAUGUUAGAAGUAGUGAACCGAAAGGGGAACGACCUGUUAAAUCAGGAGCUAUCACAGGUGCUGCAUGGCUGUCGUCAGCUCGUGCCGUGAGGUGUAUGGUUAAGUCCUGCAACGAGCGCAACCCUUAUUGCCAGUUAUAUUCUCUGGCGAUACUGCCUCGCAAAACGGGGAGGAAGGUGGGGAUGACGUCAAGUCAGCAUGGCCUUUAUGCCUUGGGCUACACACACGCUACAAUGGACGGUACAAUGGGUUGCCACCGGGCGACCGGGCGCUAAUCCCCAAAACCGUCCUCAGUUCGGAUCGCAGGCUGAAACCCGCCUGCGUGAAGUCGGAGUUGCUAGUAAACGCGUGUCAGCAUAGCGCGUUGAAUACGUUCUCGGGCCUUGUACACACCGCCCGU
Molecule: ribosomal RNA, 487 nt
Filed under: uncultured bacterium
Lineage: Bacteria
Description: partial 16S ribosomal RNA
Rfam family: Bacterial small subunit ribosomal RNA
Source: RNAcentral